ACGGGUGAGUAACACGUAGGUAAUCUGCCUCAAGGAGGGGGAUAACGUUGGGAAACUGACGCUAAUACCCCAUAUGUGAAUAGUUGCAAUGCUAUUCAUGAAAGCUCCGGCACCUUGAGAUGAGCCUGCGGCUGAUUAGCUUGUUGGUGGGGUAAAGGCCUACCAAGGCAACGAUCAGUAGCUGGUCUGAGAGGAUGAUCAGCCACAAUGGAACUGAGAAACGGUCCAUACUCCUACGGGAGGCAGCAGUAGGGAAUUUUGCGCAAUGGGCGAAAGCCUGACGCAGCAACACCGCGUGUGGGAUGAAGCUUUUCGGAGUGUAAACCACUGUCAGAGGGGACGAAACCUGACGGUACCCUCAAAGGAAGCAUCGGCUAACUACGUGCCAGCAGCCGCGGUAAGACGUAGGAUGCAAGCGUUGUCCGGAAUUAUUGGGCGUAAAGCGUUCGUAGGCGGCCUGUCAAGUCUGAUGUUAAAUCCCGGAGCUCAACUCUGGUUAAGCAUUGGAUACUGACAAGCUAGAGUGCAGGAGAGGCAAGGGGAAUUCCUAGU
RNAcentral lists this ribosomal RNA (552 nucleotides) under uncultured bacterium. RNAcentral describes it as "bacterial SSU rRNA". It matches the Rfam family "Bacterial small subunit ribosomal RNA", at positions 102 to 674 of the family's 1533-position model. The record is from RNAcentral.